UCGUUAUGUUGUGGGCUGCCUUACGCAGAGCCCACACGAUAAGAAACUGCCACCCACAACGCACGAGGAGCUGAAUCCUGCCAAGAACUCUCAAUAAGUAAGCGAGCUUGAAAGUGGAUGCCUGCCCAGUUGAACCUUGAGAGGAGACCACAGCCCCUGGCUAAUGCUUUCAUUGCUGUCUGCCAGAACUAAGAAGAUGAGAUCUUGGAGUUUAAGGAGGACAAGUCACUCACCGCUCCGCCAAUCACUGGUGGCACUUGGACUGUUCCCUAGGAAUGCUGGAUUUCAAAGCCUAUUCCUGUUCCUCUACUCCAAGCUACCCUGAGGGCAGAAAACAUGUCUUCAUCUAUCUUUGCCUUUCCAACAGCAUAUGGUCUCUUUUCUGACACACAGUGGGUGUGAACAUUGAUAAAAUAUUUAACAAAGGUUAGCAAAGAAAUAAACUCAAAAGCC
Molecule: long non-coding RNA, 453 nt
Organism: Sapajus apella (tufted capuchin)
Lineage: Eukaryota; Metazoa; Chordata; Mammalia; Primates; Cebidae
Exons: 2
Source: RefSeq, a predicted model, not a curated record